RNAcentral lists this long non-coding RNA (205 nucleotides) under Glycine max (soybean). Its description in RNAcentral is "long non-coding RNA (GMAX_LNC001468)". The record is from RNAcentral. Lineage: Eukaryota; Viridiplantae; Streptophyta; Magnoliopsida; Fabales; Fabaceae.
CGACUAAGUAGUUUGGUGGCAAAAUAGGACUAGGAUUUUUGCAACAUACAUAAUUCGGUCGCUAUUUUAGUGGCUAAGAAUUUUAGCGACCGAAUCAUGCUUUUUUUGUAGUGUUAAAAAUCAUAAAAGAUAUGCACUAGUUUUAGAUGAAUCUUAGAAGAUAGAACUAUUGUCCAAUAGCAUACCUUCACCAUAACCAUCUCCA